UGAGCAUGACAGCUUCCCAAUACUUACAUUCUUACCUGAUGAGACUAGUGGUGAUAACAAGUGAUUUUUGAUACUGUGUAAUGAAAUGCGACAAUAUUUGGAAGGUCUCUUUAAUUCAGUGAUUGCCAAGUGACCAAUGCAUGUUAUAACAGAAGUAUGCACUUAAAUGUAAAAGAGACCAGUGAGCUUCGGCACAACAGAGUACUCAGUUUAUUUGGUAUGAUUUUAUCUUCUACACUAUAGCUAACUUUUAAGAAACUCGCACUUGUCAGCUUUCUGUAUGUAUUGCAGAAUAGCCAUGAUUAUCUGAAAAGACUAUUAAAAUAUUCUCUCUUUUUCCAACUACAUGUCUGCAUGAGGCCCAGGGUUCUUCCAAGACCUCCACUAAAACAACCUAUCUCAAGAGAGAAACAAGAAGAUACAGUGCCUAAGGAGCUAGGUUUCAGUUUGUCUCCCAGUGUUCAGGAAGAGGGUCUCCAGCACGUGUGGAAUGGCCACCGUUGAAGCAGAACUUACUCUUACUGUCCAGCUUACCCGGUUUCUGAGAAUGAGAGGGCUGAACAAGCCUCCCUCACCCACCCUGCCCACCUCUGGGGUGAGCAGGGAUGAGCAGCUCAAGACAACUGCUCUUCUCUCAUCCCAGCCCAGACAGCCCAGACAGUCCAGGCAUGUCCUACCCACUAGCACAGGAGGGAAACUUCUGAGGCCUUUGCCACCCCGGGCUCUGGGCAGAGCAGCCUGGGCAUCACCUGGCCGAUCCUUGGAAGGUAGCUUCGCCAGUCCCACCCAGGC
Long non-coding RNA from Heterocephalus glaber (naked mole-rat), 792 nucleotides. Lineage: Eukaryota; Metazoa; Chordata; Mammalia; Rodentia; Bathyergidae. The record is from Ensembl.